Molecule: transfer RNA, 77 nt
Filed under: Proteus phage VTCCBPA139
Lineage: Duplodnaviria; Heunggongvirae; Uroviricota; Caudoviricetes; Demerecviridae
Description: tRNA-Glu
Rfam family: tRNA
About the family: Transfer RNA (tRNA) molecules are approximately 80 nucleotides in length. Their secondary structure includes four short double-helical elements and three loops (D, anti-codon, and T loops).
Source: RNAcentral
GCACCUAUCGUCUAGUUCGGUUAGGACACUUGCCUUUCACGCAAGCAACACGGGUUCGAAUCCCGUUGGGUGUACCA